ACCAUCAUUAGAACCGAGUACUUCAACGAUCUUUUGAGAUUGCAUGUAGAUAAAAAAAAUGCAGAGAUAGAAAUGGAUAAGAACACCAUCAAAAUAAAAAGUUGUCCAAAUUUGGCCUCAACGGGGGUAAGGACGUAGCAGAGACAACACGCAAAAUAAUCUAACUCAUAAUAAGCCAUGAAUCAGGAAUUUCCCUGAAUUGGUCGGGUAGGAAUUAAUGAUAAAAAUGGAUUAGAAGCAAUGGCGAAUAUUGUUGAGCUUAAUCAUGGAUCUGUAAGGAUAAAUCCUAUUACAAGAAGUGCCACUGAUGUGGAAAUGAAUCAUGUAAUGAAUUGGCUUCGCAAUGCCGGUGACAGAGCAGGGGGCAGAUUAAAAAGUGCGGAGGAAAAAGAAGCAG
This is a long non-coding RNA of Coccinella septempunctata (seven-spotted ladybird), 397 nucleotides long. RefSeq lists it as uncharacterized. NCBI's taxonomy places the organism in Eukaryota, Metazoa, Arthropoda, Insecta, Coleoptera, Coccinellidae. The record is from RefSeq and is a predicted model, not a curated record. The transcript is spliced from 3 exons.